RNAcentral lists this ribosomal RNA (170 nucleotides) under uncultured bacterium. Its description in RNAcentral is "partial 16S ribosomal RNA". It matches the Rfam family "Bacterial small subunit ribosomal RNA", at positions 338 to 524 of the family's 1533-position model. The record is from RNAcentral.
CCUACGGGAGGCAGCAGUAGGGAAUAUUGGACAAUGGGCGAAAGCCUGAUCCAGCAACGCCGCGUGUGCGAUGACGGCCUUCGGGUUGUAAAGCACUUUUAGAGGAGAUGAGAAAGGACAGUAUCCUCUGAAUAAGCCUCGGCGAACUACGUGCCAGCAGCCGCGGUAAU